Molecule: non-coding RNA, 412 nt
Organism: Pelobates cultripes (western spadefoot toad)
Lineage: Eukaryota; Metazoa; Chordata; Amphibia; Anura; Pelobatidae
Source: the annotation of a GenBank genome assembly
GAUAAAGCAAAUGUGUUCCUCUGCAAGUAUAAGGGACAUAGGUAGAGGUACAUUUUAAAAAGGCCACUCUGUAAAUGUGUCCAUCAAAAUGGGCGACAUGAUGUUGCUUUGAAUAUUUGUCAGCUUUCUCGUGUAAUUAACAUGUAUUUGUUUUACUAUUCUUGGCAUAGAUUGUGCCCCUCUUCCAGUGCCAUUGCUUGUCACGUUUGCAGCUGCUUCUAUUUCUAAUGCAUUCCUUGGAGGAAGAGGGGGGUUAUUUGAUCCUUAUUCUUCUCUGGCCCCAGCAGUCCUUGUCAUAAAUCCGGGGGAUCAAGCCAUGUCAUAGGGAGGGCUUGCUGGGGGAGGAAGAGCAAGUGCUGGAAAUUCCCCUUAACUAUUUCCAGUGAGAAAGUUACCAUGUGUUCAUAGACGU